This 466-nucleotide ribosomal RNA is filed under the name uncultured bacterium. RNAcentral's name for it is "partial 16S ribosomal RNA". It matches the Rfam family "Bacterial small subunit ribosomal RNA", at positions 28 to 507 of the family's 1533-position model. The record is from RNAcentral.
GACGAACGCUGGCGGCGCGCCUAACACAUGCAAGUCGAACGAGCGAGAGAGAGCUUGCUUUCUCGAGCGAGUGGCGAACGGGUGAGUAACGCGUGAGGAACCUGCCUCAAAGAGGGGGACAACAGUUGGAAACGACUGCUAAUACCGCAUAAGCCCACGCCCCGGCAUCGGGUAGAGGGAAAAGGAGCAAUCCGCUUUGAGAUGGCCUCGCGUCCGAUUAGCUAGUUGGUGAGGUAACGGCCCACCAAGGCGACGAUCGGUAGCCGGACUGAGAGGUUGAACGGCCACAUUGGGACUGAGACACGGCCCAGACUCCUACGGGAGGCAGCAGUGGGGAAUAUUGCACAAUGGGGGAAACCCUGAUGCAGCGACGCCGCGUGGAGGAAGAAGGUCUUCGGAUUGUAAACUCCUGUUGUUGAGGAAGAUAAUGACGGUACUCAACAAGGAAGUGACGGCUAACUACGUG